UAACCUGCCCAAUAGAUCGGGAUAACACCUGGAAACAGAUGCUAAUACCGGAUAACAACAGAUGAUGCCUAUCAACUGUUUAAAAGAUGGUUCUGCUAUCACUCUUGGAUGGACCUGCGGUGCAUUAGCUAGUUGGUAGGGUAACGGCCUACCAAGGCGAUGAUGCAUAGCCGAGUUGAGAGACUGAUCGGCCACAUUGGGACUGAGACACGGCCCAAACUCCUACGGGAGGCAGCAGUU
This 240-nucleotide ribosomal RNA is filed under the name uncultured Lactobacillus sp. Its description in RNAcentral is "partial 16S ribosomal RNA". It matches the Rfam family "Bacterial small subunit ribosomal RNA", at positions 122 to 355 of the family's 1533-position model. The record is from RNAcentral. Lineage: Bacteria; Bacillati; Bacillota; Bacilli; Lactobacillales; Lactobacillaceae.